This 98-nucleotide non-coding RNA is filed under the name Paramoeba aestuarina. Lineage: Eukaryota; Discosea; Flabellinia; Dactylopodida; Paramoebidae. The record is from RNAcentral.
UUUUUUUUUUUUUUUUUGUUCUUCUUGUUUGGAAAGAUAAAACAACCUUAAAAAAAGAUGGGGUGUGUUGGUGCUAAACCCGAAGAAGAGGAAGAUAA